This 364-nucleotide ribosomal RNA is filed under the name Epinephelus coioides (orange-spotted grouper). RNAcentral's name for it is "partial 12S ribosomal RNA". It matches the Rfam family "Bacterial small subunit ribosomal RNA", at positions 1019 to 1527 of the family's 1533-position model. The record is from RNAcentral. Lineage: Eukaryota; Metazoa; Chordata; Actinopteri; Perciformes; Serranidae.
CCUUUUCUUGUUCUCUCCGCCUAUAUACCGCCGUCGUCAGCUUACCCUAUGAAGGCCCCUUAGUAAGCACAAUUAGUACAACCCAAAACGUCAGGUCGAGGUGUAGCGUAUGGAAAGGGAAGAAAUGGGCUACAUUCCCUAUUACAGGUAAUUACGGAUAAUAUUACUGAAACGUGUAUCUAGAAGGAGGAUUUAGCAGUAAGCAGAAAAUAGAGUGUUCUGCUGAAACCGGCCCUGAAGCGCGCACACACCGCCCGUCACUCUCCCCGAACGUUUACCCACAACUUAACUUAAAACCUUACAUUAGUAAAGGGGAGGCAAGUCGUAACAUGGUAAGUGUACCGGAAGGUGCACUUGGCAAAAC